RNAcentral lists this ribosomal RNA (497 nucleotides) under uncultured bacterium. RNAcentral's name for it is "partial 16S ribosomal RNA". It matches the Rfam family "Bacterial small subunit ribosomal RNA", at positions 28 to 507 of the family's 1533-position model. The record is from RNAcentral.
GAUGAACGCUGGCGGCGUGCCUAAUACAUGCAAGUCGAGCGAACGGACGAGAAGCUUGCUCCUCUGAUGUUAGCGGCGGACGGGUGAGUAACACGUGGAUAACCUACCUAUAAGACUGGGAUAACUUCGGGAAACCGGAGCUAAUACCGGAUAAUAUGUUGAACCGCAUGGUUCAAUAGUGAAAGACGGUUUUGCUGUCACUUAUAGAUGGAUCCGCGCUGCAUUAGCUAGUUGGUAAGGUAACGGCCUACCAAGGCAACGAUGCGUAGCCGAUCUGAGAGGGUGAUCGGCCACACUGGAACUGAGACACGGUCCAGACUCCUACGGGAGGCAGCAGUAGGGAAUCUUCCGCAAUGGGCGAAAGCCUGACGGAGCAACGCCGCGUGAGUGAUGAAGGUCUUCGGAUCGUAAAACUCUGUUAUUAGGGAAGAACAUAUGUGUAAGUAACUCUGCACGUCUUGACGGUACCUAAUCAGAAAGCCACGGCUAACUACGUG